AUGCCUACGGGACGCAGCAGUGGGGGAUAUUGGACAAUGGGGGAAACCCUGAUCUAGCGAUGCCGCGUGAGGGAAGAAGGUUUUCGGAUUGUAAACCUCUGUGGAGGGGGACGAUAAUGACGGUACCCCUUUAGGAAGCCACGGCUAACUACGUGCCAGCAGCCGCGGUAAUACGUAGGUGGCGAGCGUUGUCCGGAAUUACUGGGUGUAAAGGGAGUGUAGGCGGCCCUGCAAGUCAGAAGUGAAAUCCAUGGGCUUAACCCGUGAACUGCUUUUGAAACUGCAGGACUUGAGUGGAGUAGAGG
This 305-nucleotide ribosomal RNA is filed under the name uncultured bacterium. Its description in RNAcentral is "bacterial SSU rRNA". It matches the Rfam family "Bacterial small subunit ribosomal RNA", at positions 335 to 657 of the family's 1533-position model. The record is from RNAcentral.